GUGAGGAAUAUUGCGCAAUGGAGGCAACUCUGACGCAGCCAUGCCGCGUGCAGGAAGAAGGCGCUACGCGUUGUAAACUGCUUUUAACCGGGAAGAAACCCCAGGACGUGUCCUGGGUUGACGGUACCGGAGGAAUAAGCACCGGCUAACUUCGUGCCAGCAGCCGCGGUAAUACGAAGGGUGCAAGCGUUAUCCGGAUUCAUUGGGUUUAAAGGGUGCGUAGGCGGAGCGUUAAGUCAGUGGUGAAAUCCUGCAGCUUAACUGUAGACUUGCCAUUGAUACUGGCGCUCUUGAGUGCGCUUGAAGUGGGCGGAAUGUGCCGUGUAGCGGUGAAAUGCUUAGAUAUGGCACAGAACACCAAUUGCGAAGGCAGCUCACUAAGGCGAUACUGACGCUGAGGUGCGAAAGCGUGGGGAGCAAACAGGAUUAGAAACCCUGGUAGUCC
This 445-nucleotide ribosomal RNA is filed under the name uncultured bacterium. Its description in RNAcentral is "bacterial SSU rRNA". It matches the Rfam family "Bacterial small subunit ribosomal RNA", at positions 354 to 796 of the family's 1533-position model. The record is from RNAcentral.